GGGGCCGACUUGGUUUCGACAGGGGUUGCAAAGCGGAACAGGGCAUGCCGAGGACUGGUUACCUCGUUAAUCCAUCCGGAACUGCUUAAAUGCAAACGACGAAUCUUACGCUCUCGCAGCGUAAAUCGCACCUAGAAACCUAAGAAACUUCUAGCUCUACAGCACUUCUUCCCUGGGGUGUGCUGGCAACAGCGGUAGAGUCAUUUACAGGGAAUCGUGGCGUAUCGGGUUACUUGAUACGUCAUUAAAUCCAAGGUAACUCGUCCUGUCGAAGCGUGUGCGUCCGCGUCGCCAGGAUUAAAACCAAUUGGCUGCACUACGCAUGUAGAACUGUCUGUAGAGUGCUUCUGGACGCGGGUUCAAUUCCCGCCGGCUCCACCA
Molecule: non-coding RNA, 381 nt
Organism: Herbaspirillum seropedicae SmR1
Lineage: Bacteria; Pseudomonadati; Pseudomonadota; Betaproteobacteria; Burkholderiales; Oxalobacteraceae
Rfam family: transfer-messenger RNA
About the family: Bacterial tmRNA, also known as 10Sa RNA or SsrA, is named for its dual tRNA and mRNA-like properties.
Source: Rfam